AGAGUUUGAUCAUGGCUCAGGAUAAACGCUGGCGGCGCACAUAAGACAUGCAAGUCGAACGGAAGUCGUUGUAAUGAAAUAGAAACGGACAGAGAACUUGUUCGAAGAAAGUGGAAGUAGACUUACAACAAUGGCUUUAGUGGCGGACUGGUGAGUAACGCGUAAGGAACCUGCCUUCUAGAGGGGAAUAACAAUGAGAAAUCAUUGCUAAUACCGCAUAUGCCGAGAGAAUCACAUGGUACAAUCGGGAAAAGAGUAAUCUGCUAGAAGAUGGCCUUGCGUCUGAUUAGAUAGUUGGUGGGGUAACGGCCUACCAAGUCGACGAUCAGUAGCCGGACUGAGAGGUUGAACGGCCACAUUGGGACUGAGAUACGGCCCAGACUCCUACGGGAGGCAGCAGUCGGGAAUAUUGCGCAAUGGAGGAAACUCUGACGCAGUGACGCCGCGUAUAGGAAGAAGGUUUUCGGAUUGUAAACUAUUGUCGUUAGGAAGAGAAAGGACAGUACCUAAGGAGGAAGCUCCGGCUAACUA
RNAcentral lists this ribosomal RNA (531 nucleotides) under uncultured bacterium. RNAcentral's name for it is "bacterial SSU rRNA". It matches the Rfam family "Bacterial small subunit ribosomal RNA", at positions 8 to 503 of the family's 1533-position model. The record is from RNAcentral.